AUUGAACGCUGGCGGCAGGCCUAACACAUGCAAGUCGAACGGUAACAGGAAGAAGCUUGCUUCUUUGCUGACGAGUGGCGGACGGGUGAGUAAUGUCUGGGAAACUGCCUGAUGGAGGGGGAUAACUACUGGAAACGGUAGCUAAUACCGCAUAACGUCGCAAGACCAAGGAGGGGGACCUUCGGGCCUCUUGCCAUCGGAUGUGCCCAGAUGGGAUUAGCUAGUAGGUGGGGUAACGGCUCACCUAGGCGACGAUCCCUAGCUGGUCUGAGAGGAUGACCAGCCACACUGGAACUGAGACACGGUCCAGACUCCUACGGGAGGCAGCAGUGGGGAAUAUUGCACAAUGGGCGCAAGCCUGAUGCAGCCAUGCCGCGUGUAUGAAGAAGGCCUUCGGGUUGUAAAGUACUUUCAGCGGGGAGGAAGGGAGUAAAGUUAAUACCUUUGCUCAUUGACGUUACCCGCAGAAGAAGCACCGGCUAACUCCGUG
RNAcentral lists this ribosomal RNA (490 nucleotides) under uncultured bacterium. RNAcentral's name for it is "partial 16S ribosomal RNA". It matches the Rfam family "Bacterial small subunit ribosomal RNA", at positions 30 to 507 of the family's 1533-position model. The record is from RNAcentral.